This 2440-nucleotide long non-coding RNA is filed under the name Homo sapiens (human). Its description in RNAcentral is "HSALNT0281245". The record is from RNAcentral. Lineage: Eukaryota; Metazoa; Chordata; Mammalia; Primates; Hominidae.
CCCUCAUCUCCCUUCGCUGACUCUCUUUUCGGACUCAGCCCGCCUGCACCCAGGUGAAAUAAACAGCCUUGUUGCUCACACAAAGCCUGUUUGGUGGUCUCUUCACAUGGACGUGCAUGAAAUUUGGUGCCGUGACUGGGAUCAAGUGACCUCCCUUGGGAGAUCAAUCCCCUGUCCUCCUGCUCUUUGCUCCAUGAAAAAGAUCCACCUACGACCUCAGGUCCUUAGACCUACCAGCCCAAGGAACAUCUCACCAAUUUUAAAUCAGGUAAGCGGCCUCUUCUUACUCUCUUCUCCAACCUUUCUCACUAUCCCUCAACCACUUUCUCCUUUCCACUCUUCAAUCUCUCCCUUCUCUUAAUUUCAAUUCUUUCAUUUUCUGGUAGAGACAAAGGAGACACAUUUUAUCCGUGGACCCAAAACUCCGGCGCCAGUCACGGACUGGGAAGGCAGCCUUCCCUUGGUGUUUAAUCAUUGCAGAGACGCCUCUCUGAUUAUUCACCCACGUUUCAGAGGUGUCAGACCACGCAGGGACGCCUGCCUUGGUCCUUCACCCUUAGCGGCAAGUCCCGCUUUUCUGGGGAAGGGCAAGUACCCCAACCCCUUCUCUCAGUGUCUCUAUCUCUUCUCUGCUUUUCUGGGGGAGAGGCAAGAACCCCUCAACCCCUUCUCCUUCACCCUUAGUGGCAAGUCCCACUUUUCUAGGGGAGGGGCAAGUACCCCAACCUCCUAUCUCUGCACCCCGAUCCCUUAUUUUCAUGCCCUGACCUCUUAUAUCUCUGUGCCCCAAUCCCUUAUUUCCACACCCCAACCUCUUAUAUCUCUGCGCCCUGAUCCCUUAUUUCCACGCCCCGACCUCGUAUCUCUGUGCCCCAACCCCUUUCCCGCUUUUCUGGAGGGUAAGAACCCCCUAACCGCUUCCCUCCGUGUCUCUACUCUCCCUUUUCUUUAAACUUGCCUCCUUCACUAUAAGCAACCUUCUACCCUCCAUUCCCCCUUAGCCUGUGUUCUCAAGAACUUAAAACCUCUUCAACUCACACCUGACCUAAAACCUAAACGCCUUAUUUUCUUCUGCAAUGCCACUUGACCCCAAUAUAAACUCGACAGUAGUUCCAAAUAGCCAGAAAACGGCACUUUCAAUUUUUCCAUCCUGCAAGAUCUAAAUAAUUCUUGUGGUAAAAUAGGCAAACGGUCUGAGGUGCCUGACAUCCAGGCAUUCCUUUACACAUCAGUCCCUUCCUAGUCUCUGUUCCCAAUGCAACUCGUCCCAAAUCUUCCUUCUUUCCCUCCUGCCUGUCCUCUCAGUCCCAACCCCAAGCGUUGCUGAGUCUAAUCUUCCUUUUUUACAGACCCAUCUGACCUCUCCCCUCCUCGCCAGGCCAAGCUAGGUCCCAAUUCUUCCUCAGCCUCCACUCCUCCCCCCUGUAAUCCUUUUAUCACCUUCCCUCCUCACACCUGGUCCGGCUUACAGUUUCGUUCAUGACUAGCCCUCCCCCACCUGCCCAGCAAUUUCCUCUUAAAAAGGUGGCUGAAGCUAAAGGCAUAGUCAAAGUUAAUGCUCCUUUUCUUUAUCAGACCUCUCCCAAAUCAGUGAGUGUUUAGGCUCUUUCAUCAAAUAUGAAAAACCCAGCCCAGUUCAUGGCUCGUUUGGCAGCAACCCUGAGAUGCUUUACAGCCCUAGACACUGAAGGGUCAGAAGGCCGUCUUAUUCUCAAUAUAUAUUUUAUUACCCAAUCUACUCCCAACAUUAAAUGAAACUCCAAAAAUUAAAUUCCGGCCCUCAAACCCCACAACAGGAUUUAAUUAACCUCGCCUUCAAGGUGUACAAUAAUAGAAAAAAGUUGCAAUUCCUUGCCUCCACUGUGAGACAAACCCCAGCCACAUCUCCAGCACACAAGAACUUCCAAAUGCCUGAACCGCAGUGGCCAGGCCUUCCUCCAGAACCUCCUCCCAAAGGAGCUUGCCACAAGUGCCAGAAAUCUGACCACCAGGCCAAGGAAUGUCCACAGCCCAGGAUUCCUCCUAAGCCGUGUCCCAUCUGUGCAGGACCCCACUGGAAAUCGGACUGUUCAACUCACCUGGCAGCCACUCCCAGAGCCCCUGGAACUCUAGCCCAAGGCUCUCUGAUGGACUCCUUCCCAGAUCUUCUCGGCUUAGCGGCUGAAGACUGACACUGCCCGAUUGCCUCAGAAGCCUACAAGACCAUCACAGACACUCUAAGUAGUCACAUAAGAAUGUGAUGUUUGGAGUUGCAGAAGCAAUUUUUUGACCCUACGGGACAAACCUGUACACGAAGAGCCAUUAUAUUGAAUAUGAUGGGUCAGAAGAAUGGAAACAGCCAGAGUUUUUGGUAACCCUGCUGAGCCAAAUCUCAACCCUGACACCACUUAUCCCUAGACUGCUAGUUAUGUGAGCUAAUUAAAUGUGUUUUGGUUUAAGG